GCCUUCGUGGUGUAGUAGUCAGCACGCUCAAUGCUUAACCGAGAGGUCCGUGGUUCGAUUCUCGGCGAAGGCG
This 73-nucleotide transfer RNA is filed under the name Stegodyphus mimosarum. It matches the Rfam family "tRNA". From Rfam's summary of the family: Transfer RNA (tRNA) molecules are approximately 80 nucleotides in length. Their secondary structure includes four short double-helical elements and three loops (D, anti-codon, and T loops). The record is from Rfam by way of RNAcentral. Lineage: Eukaryota; Metazoa; Arthropoda; Arachnida; Araneae; Eresidae.